UACCAGCACCCCGAGUGGUCGGGACGAUUAUUGGGCCUAAAGCAUCCGUAGCCGGUCAUGCAAGUCUUCCGUUAAAUCCAGCCGCUCAACGGUUGGGCUGCGGAAGAUACUACGUGGCUAGGAGGCGGGAGAGGCAAGCGGUACUCAGUGGGUAGGGGUAAAAUCCUUUGAUCCAUUGAAGACCACCAGUGGCGAAGGCGGCUUGCCAGAACGCGCUCGACGGUGAGGGAUGAAAGCUGGGGGAGCAAACCGG
This 253-nucleotide ribosomal RNA is filed under the name uncultured bacterium. RNAcentral describes it as "partial 16S ribosomal RNA". It matches the Rfam family "Archaeal small subunit ribosomal RNA", at positions 474 to 727 of the family's 1478-position model. The record is from RNAcentral.